UACGUCGGGGGCAAGCGUUGUCCGGAUUUACUGGGCGUAAAGAGCGCGUAGGCGGAAGCUUAAGUGUGGCCUGAAAGCCCCCGGCUCAACCGGGGAAGGUGGCUGCAAACUGGGUUUCUUGAGGGCGAUAGGGGAGAGCGGAAUUCCUGGUGUAGCGGUGAAAUGCGUAGAGAUCAGGAGGAACACCAAUGGCGAAGGCAGCUCGCUGGGACGGUACUGACGCUGAGACGCGAAAGCGUGGGGAGCAAACAGG
This 253-nucleotide ribosomal RNA is filed under the name uncultured bacterium. RNAcentral describes it as "partial 16S ribosomal RNA". It matches the Rfam family "Bacterial small subunit ribosomal RNA", at positions 524 to 776 of the family's 1533-position model. The record is from RNAcentral.